RNAcentral lists this ribosomal RNA (495 nucleotides) under uncultured bacterium. Its description in RNAcentral is "partial 16S ribosomal RNA". It matches the Rfam family "Bacterial small subunit ribosomal RNA", at positions 28 to 507 of the family's 1533-position model. The record is from RNAcentral.
GAUGAAUGCUGGCGGCGUGCCUAAUACAUGCAAGUAGAACGCUGAAGGAGGAGCUUGCUCUUCUGGAUGAGUUGCGAACGGGUGAGUAACGCGUAGGUAACCUGCCUGGUAGCGGGGGAUAACUAUUGGAAACGAUAGCUAAUACCGCAUGACAACAGUUAUUGCAUGAUAACUGUUUAAAAGGGGCAACUGCUCCACUACCAGAUGGACCUGCGUUGUAUUAGCUAGUUGGUGAGGUAACGGCUCACCAAGGCGACGAUACAUAGCCGACCUGAGAGGGUGAUCGGCCACACUGGGACUGAGACACGGCCCAGACUCCUACGGGAGGCAGCAGUAGGGAAUCUUCGGCAAUGGACGGAAGUCUGACCGAGCAACGCCGCGUGAGUGAAGAAGGUUUUCGGAUCGUAAAGCUCUGUUGUAAGAGAAGAACGAGUGUGAGAGUGGAAAGUUCACACUGUGACGGUAUCUUACCAGAAAGGGACGGCUAACUACGUG